Molecule: small nuclear RNA, 171 nt
Filed under: Pollicipes pollicipes
Lineage: Eukaryota; Metazoa; Arthropoda; Thecostraca; Pollicipedomorpha; Pollicipedidae
Description: U1 spliceosomal RNA
Rfam family: U1 spliceosomal RNA
About the family: U1 is a small nuclear RNA (snRNA) component of the spliceosome (involved in pre-mRNA splicing).
Source: RNAcentral
AUACUUACCUGGCUCAGGGGAUACCGUGAAUCACAAAGGCGGUUCCCCCAGGGCGAGGCCCUUUCCAUUGCACUUCGGUUGGGUUGACCCCUGCGAUUACCCCCAAAUGUGGGUAACUCGGGAGUACAAUUUUUUGUUAGCGGGGUAGGUUGCGUUCGCGCUCCAACCCUA